RNAcentral lists this ribosomal RNA (52 nucleotides) under Salvia desoleana. The record is from RNAcentral. Lineage: Eukaryota; Viridiplantae; Streptophyta; Magnoliopsida; Lamiales; Lamiaceae.
AUAAGAGAAUAGAAUGCGCUGUUACUAAUGGGUGCGAUCAUACCAGCACUAA